CUCGUAGGCGGUUCGGUAAGUCGGGUGUGAAACCUCCAGGCUCAACCUGGAGACGCCACCCGAUACUGCCGUGACUAGAGUCCAGUAGGGGAGCGUGGAAUUCCUGGUGUAGCGGUGAAAUGCGCAGAUAUCAGGAGGAACACCAGCGGCGAAGGCGGCGCUCUGGGCUGGAACUGACGCUGAGGAGCGAAAGCGUGGGGAGCGAACA
RNAcentral lists this ribosomal RNA (208 nucleotides) under uncultured bacterium. Its description in RNAcentral is "partial 16S ribosomal RNA". It matches the Rfam family "Bacterial small subunit ribosomal RNA", at positions 568 to 774 of the family's 1533-position model. The record is from RNAcentral.